CAACUUUCAUAUUUUGUUUUUCAGUUUUAUAGUAGAUGUUUCCUGCUUCUACAGCUGCUGGGUGUGUCCCUCCUCCUGUUCCUGUGAUCUAAACCUAAAAAAAACCUUCUCAAAAAAGAAGAAAGAAGUCGAGCAGAGUCACAAGUAUUCUCUCUCACACACACACAGACACAGACACACACACACACACACACACACACUUUACAGGGUCCCAUGAACAUGUUAGCUUUUUAGAUUCACAGUAUCUCAACACUUUCCAUUUUAGAGAACAUUUUUGCCUUACAAAACUAAAUCUGUCCAGCCCAGUUGCUUUUUCAGAACAGAGGAAAGUUAAUACUAAAUGGUAUAUUGUCUCUAAUUUUGCUAGCCUAAGAGAAAAACUGCCUGCAGCUCAAAGCCAAAUUCCUCAAGGUGUUUGAGCUCAAAGCUAACCACAACAGGAAGAGGAAGUGCAUGGUAUCUCAUAUUCAGUAUAAUUUUGUUGUUCUCUCCCCAUGAAUCUAACUUCUCACAGACUAGAGCACCCGUGGAAGCGCAGGAAAUCACUUCUGGGCAUCCGAGAUUGAGAGCAUCCACAACAGGGUGAUUUGGGAUUUGCUGCCUUCAGUAUCUACUCUUUGCCUACUACCUUCCACUGGAGGUUUCCUGCUGGAUGUGUCAGAGCCAAUUCAGCCUUUCCUCCUUCUCCAUGGCCAACUGCAUUUCUGUUCGGAUUCAAUUCUCCAUCUUUCCUUGCUUGCCAGAGAAUGGACAAUUUCAAAUAACCAGCUGUUUCACUUCUCUAUCUUCCUCUUCCAGGAUGUGAGGCAUGAGGUUGUAGGUAUGAGAGAAGAUCUGGAAUUCCUUUUCCAGGGUCCAAAAAACUUGGACCUUGACCCUCCUGGUGCCAAGAAAACGAAGUCUCUUAAACAGACCUAAACUCAUCUCCCCUACUCCAAAGUUUUCAGAUACCCAGAGAAUCAGCUUUAUAACCAUUCCACUUCUCUCCCAGCAUAUUGGUGGAGUUUUGAAUUCUCCAUCCUUGUGAGCCAAGUUCCUAAGGGCCUUCUGUUAAGGGUCUGGACAACUAAUUCUCUGAUUUGUAGAGAUCAGACACUCUUCUACUUCUGAGGCCAAAAGAUAAGCAGGGAGUAAUCUUUCCCUGUAACAACAGUGCUCUGUUUGUAUCCUCUUUUAGACAAUGCCGAAAGACUUCCCUAACAUGGGCUCAUUUCUGCUAGUGAAUAGACUAGCUUCUUCAACACACACAUCUUUUUCCUUUCUUAGGAGUUGAAAGAUCUGCCAGUGGAGAGCUUACUCGUUACCCAACCCUCCACCACAAUGGAGCUGUCACCUCCCUUUCAUGGGCAAACAACUCAGGGGCCUUCCCCAUUUGUAUCUUAACCCUGCAAUUGUCUGGUGGGUGGAGUCUCCUGCUUCGGAACUGAUAUCUUCCUCCCCAGUCAGAGGGUGGAGGGUCUGCGUGGGAUAAACCACUCCACUAUCAUAGAUAACCUCUUAACAGAUUGUUGGUGGAGCUUGUCUCUCACUCACUCAGUUGCCUGAUAUUUGCCAUUUACCCCCAAACUUAACUGCAUCCCACCUGCCCACCACACCACACCCUUGCUAAGUAUGCCACACCCUUGGCACCUUCACUGACCCAAGUUCCACGUAGUUUACUGUUUCUUUUGCUCUAGUCAUGUUACAGUUUGCACAAUCACCCAGCUCUUCAGAGAAUUCCCUGACUUCCUGGAUACCUUGCUAAAUUGCUUCACAAACUCCUGUGUCCUCAUAAUCCUUUUUAUUGAUUUCAAGUUGUUCUCCUGGGAGAUCUCUCCUCCUUCUACUGAAUGGUUUGACACCCAACCAGUACCACACAGAGAAAAAUCGAAUGUAUACUCAUGAAAGCCUGCAGGGUACAAUAGUUAAGAGUUGAGGUCCUGAAGUUAGACUGCUUGAAUUCAGUUUUGCCAUUUACUAAAGAACUUCAUCG
Molecule: long non-coding RNA, 1972 nt
Filed under: Equus caballus (horse)
Lineage: Eukaryota; Metazoa; Chordata; Mammalia; Perissodactyla; Equidae
Description: lncRNA (ENSECAG00000050434.1)
Source: RNAcentral